This 626-nucleotide ribosomal RNA is filed under the name uncultured bacterium. RNAcentral describes it as "bacterial SSU rRNA". It matches the Rfam family "Bacterial small subunit ribosomal RNA", at positions 232 to 877 of the family's 1533-position model. The record is from RNAcentral.
CCCGACUUAUCAGCUUGGGGGUGAGGUAACGGCUCUCCAAGGCGACGACCGUGAAACGGCCUGACACGGUGACCGGCCACACUGGGACUGAGACACGGCCCGUCUCCUACCUGAGGCCUCCCGGGGAUAUUGUACUCUGGGUGCUGCCUGAUGCACGACGCCCUUCGAGGGAUGACUGCCUUUGAUUCAAACCUCUUUCCCAUGGGAGAAGCGAAAGUGACUCCCCCUGCACAAUAAGCUCCGGCUAACUACGUGCCAGCAGCCGCGUUAAUACCCAGGGUUUGAGCGUUGACCGGACUUAUUGGGCACAAACACCUUGCACGCGGUUUGUCCCGACUGCUGUGAAACCCCGGGGCUUAACCCCGGUGCUGCAGCGUAUACGGGCAGACUUUAUUGCGCUAGGGGAGACUGUUAUUCUUGGUGUAUGGGUGAAAAGGUUUAAUAUCCGGAGGAACACCUCUGGCAAACGCCGGUCUUUGGGCUGGCUUUGACCCUUUGAAGCGAUUCCCCACUGAGCGAACCGGAUUAGAUACCCUGGUAGCCAUGCCGUAAACGUUGGGCGCUACCUGUGCAGGACAUUCACCGUUUUCCGCGCUGUAGCUAACUUAUUACGUGCCCCGCCUGAU